GAUGAACGCUAGCGGCAGGCUUAAAUACAUGCAAGUCGAGGGGCAGCACGGGUAGCAAUACCUGGUGGCGACCGGCAAACGGGUGCGGAACACGUACGCAACUUUCCCAAAACUGGUGAAUAGCCCUCCGAAAGGAGGAUUAAUACACCGUAACAUAAUGAAGUGGCAUCACUUUAUUAUUAUAGCUCCGGCGGUUUUGGAUGGGCGUGCGCCUGAUUAGGUAGUUGGCGGGGUAAACGGCCCACCAAGCCUUCGAUCAGUAACUGGUGUGAGAGCACGACCAGUCACACGGGCACUGAGACACGGGCCCGACUCCUACGGGAGGCAGCAGUAAGGAAUAUUGGUCAAUGGACGCAAGUCUGAACCAGCCAUGCCGCGUGAAGGAUG
RNAcentral lists this ribosomal RNA (387 nucleotides) under uncultured bacterium. Its description in RNAcentral is "bacterial SSU rRNA". It matches the Rfam family "Bacterial small subunit ribosomal RNA", at positions 28 to 410 of the family's 1533-position model. The record is from RNAcentral.